Molecule: small nuclear RNA, 140 nt
Organism: Toxorhynchites rutilus septentrionalis
Lineage: Eukaryota; Metazoa; Arthropoda; Insecta; Diptera; Culicidae
Product: U4 spliceosomal RNA
Exons: 1
Source: RefSeq, a predicted model, not a curated record
AGAUUUGCGCAGUGGCGAUAUCGUAACUAAUGUGGUUUAUCCGAGGUGCGAUUAUUGCUAGUUAAAAACUAACAAAAAUCUCUAUCCAAUUAGAUACAUAUCGAGAUUAAGUAAAUAUAAUAUGGUGUCGGAGUUAUUUG